RNAcentral lists this ribosomal RNA (406 nucleotides) under uncultured bacterium. RNAcentral's name for it is "partial 16S ribosomal RNA". It matches the Rfam family "Bacterial small subunit ribosomal RNA", at positions 28 to 526 of the family's 1533-position model. The record is from RNAcentral.
GACGAACGCUGGCGGCGUGCCUAAUACAUGCAAGUCGAACGCAGUUGAGAACGGGUGAGUAACGCGUAGGUACCUGCCUUAACGCGGGGGACAACUAUUGGUAACGCUAGCUAAUACCGCAUACUGUGAGAUGGACUUGCGUUGUAUUGGCUAGUUGGUGAGGUAAAGGCUCACCAAGGCGACGAUGCAUAGCCGACCGGAGAGGGGGAGCGGCAACACUGGGACUGGGACACGGCCCAGACUCCUACGGGAGGCAGCAGUAGGGAAUCUUCGGCAAGGGACGAAAGUCUGACCGAGCAACGCCGCGUGAGUGAAGAAGGUUUCGGGUCGGAAAACCCUGGUGUUAGGAGAGCGGUAACUAACCAGAAAGCGACGGCUAACUACGUGCCAGCAGCCGCGGUAAUAC